Molecule: ribosomal RNA, 560 nt
Filed under: uncultured bacterium
Lineage: Bacteria
Description: bacterial SSU rRNA
Rfam family: Bacterial small subunit ribosomal RNA
Source: RNAcentral
GGCUUCCUACGGGAGGCAGCAGUGAGGAAUAUGCACAAUGGGCGCAAGCCUGAUGCGGCGACGCCGCGUGUGGGAUGAAGGGGCUACGCCUCGUAAACCACUGUAGCCCGGGACGAAAAACGCCUUAGAGGUGUUAGACGGUACCGGGAAAGUAAGGGUCGGCUAACUACGUGCCAGCAGCCGCGGUAAUACGUAGGACCCAAGCGUUGUCCGGAUUUACUGGGUGUAAAGGGUGCGCAGGCGGAUGGGUAAGUCAGAGGUGAAAGUCUGCAGCUUAACUGUAGAAUUGCCUUUGAUACUGCUCAUCUUGAGUUUGGGAGAGGUUGAUGGAAUUCCAGGUGUAGCAGUGAAAUGCGUAGAUAUCUGGAAGAACACCAGUGGCGAAGGCGGUCAACUGGCCCAUAACUGACGCUCAUGCACGAAAGCGUGGGGAGCAAACAGGAUUAGAUAUCCUGGUAGUCCACGCCCUAAACGAUGUAUGCUUGGUGUUGGGAAGCAAUUCUCAGCGCCGAAGGAAACCCAUUAAGCAUACCACCUGGGGAGUACGAUCGCAAGGUUGC